This 83-nucleotide non-coding RNA is filed under the name Nitrospirota bacterium. RNAcentral describes it as "Nitrospirae bacterium c-di-GMP sequence". It matches the Rfam family "c-di-GMP-I riboswitch aptamer". From Rfam's summary of the family: GEMM was predicted in a large-scale screen for bacterial structured RNA regulatory elements. Genes associated with GEMM are involved in a diverse array of functions, including chemotaxis regulation, signal transduction, secretion and chitin. Lineage: Bacteria; Pseudomonadati; Nitrospirota. The record is from RNAcentral.
CUUCCAUCAGGGCAAACUACCGGCGACGGUAGGACGCAAAGCACCGGAUCUUCCCGCACCGCGAAGACAGCCGGGCCGCCGAG